This 479-nucleotide unclassified non-coding RNA is filed under the name Hevea brasiliensis (rubber tree). Lineage: Eukaryota; Viridiplantae; Streptophyta; Magnoliopsida; Malpighiales; Euphorbiaceae. The record is from RNAcentral.
UCUGAACAGAACAUCAUCCUUGAAAAUGGUAAACUUUUGAAUUCUCCUAAACAGUUGUCCUUCCGCCGGAAAAUAGACUCCUCAAGAAUUUGCUCCUGCAGCCAGCCCGGUUCACCCAAUCCCAGAACCCAUAAAGCCCACCCCGCUUUUCACCGGUUGACAUCUUCUUCCGCAACAAAUCCGCCGGAAAAAUCACGGGUCAGUGCUAAAAAAAAGCCUCGCAACUUAAAUGGAACAAGCGAUAAAAAAUUUGACCCAGUUAUUGGCAUGUCAAUUGUGAUGAUAACCCUAAUUAUAAUGUUGCUAUGGGGUCGUUUAUGUGCGAUUCUUUGUACGUCUGCAUGGUUAUAUUUCGUCCCUCGGUUAGCCGCUAAGGUUAAACCGACUCCGAAUGGAACUGUGAAAAAUGGGUUGGUUUCGGGGGAACCAGAUUUAGACCCGGAGGAGCACAAGAGGAGAGUGGUUUUGGAGGGGUUUCU